Molecule: small RNA, 549 nt
Filed under: Pongo abelii (Sumatran orangutan)
Lineage: Eukaryota; Metazoa; Chordata; Mammalia; Primates; Hominidae
Description: retained intron
Source: RNAcentral
CUGUGCGCUCGCCUUGAUGGUGGCGGCCGGCGGCUGCGUCGUCUCCGCCUUCAACCUGGAUACCCGAUUCCUGGUAGUGAAGGAGGCCGGGAACCCGGGCAGCCUCUUCGGCUACUCGGUCGCCCUCCAUCGGCAGACAGAGCGGCAGCAGCGCUACCUGCUGCUGGCUGGUGCCCCCCGGGAGCUCGCUGUGCCCGAUGGCUACACCAACCGGACUGGUGCUGUGUACCUGUGCCCACUCACUGCCCACAAGGAUGACUGUGAGCGGAUGAACAUCACAGUGAAAAGUGACCCUGGCCAUCACAUUAUUGAGGACAUGUGGCUUGGAGUGACUGUGGCCAGCCAGGGCCCUGCAGGCAGAGUUCUGGUAAGUGGGUGCUCAGUGUUGGCUCCUCCACUUCUGCCUGGCUGUCCCCUCACCUCCAGAGCUGGGAGAAAAGAAGAGGGCAGCAGGAGGGUCCAUGGCGCGUGUGUGCUGGGGCCUGCGCACAUGUCCCUUCCUGUGGCUGUGUGUCCCUUGCUCCCUGCACUCCUGGGGAGGGGGUGAGU